GCAGGUGUAGUUCAAUGGCAGAACACCAGCCUUCCAAGCUGGUCAUGAGGGUUCGAUUCCCUUCACCUGCU
This 71-nucleotide transfer RNA is filed under the name Clostridiales bacterium. RNAcentral describes it as "tRNA-Gly". It matches the Rfam family "tRNA". Rfam says of the family: Transfer RNA (tRNA) molecules are approximately 80 nucleotides in length. Their secondary structure includes four short double-helical elements and three loops (D, anti-codon, and T loops). The record is from RNAcentral. Lineage: Bacteria; Bacillati; Bacillota; Clostridia; Eubacteriales.